GAACGCAUGGCUUAGUAGCAGAGCACCUGGACGGUUGCCAGGAGGUGCGGGUUCGAGUCCCGCUGCGUUGA
This 71-nucleotide transfer RNA is filed under the name Heliconius melpomene (postman butterfly). Its description in RNAcentral is "tRNA HMEL003064". It matches the Rfam family "tRNA". Rfam says of the family: Transfer RNA (tRNA) molecules are approximately 80 nucleotides in length. Their secondary structure includes four short double-helical elements and three loops (D, anti-codon, and T loops). Further hydrogen bonds mediate the characteristic L-shaped molecular structure. tRNAs have two regions of fundamental functional importance: the anti-codon, which is responsible for specific mRNA codon recognition, and the 3' end, to which the tRNAs corresponding amino acid is attached (by aminoacyl-tRNA synthetases). tRNAs cope with the degeneracy of the genetic code in two manners: having more than one tRNA (with a specific anti-codon) for a particular amino acid; and 'wobble' base-pairing, i.e. permitting non-standard base-pairing at the 3rd anti-codon position. Lineage: Eukaryota; Metazoa; Arthropoda; Insecta; Lepidoptera; Nymphalidae. The record is from RNAcentral.